GCCUCGGUAGUCUAAUUGGCUAGGACACUUGCGCAUAAAACAAGCGAUCCGAGUUCGACUCCCGGCCGAGGUA
Non-coding RNA from Cyphomyrmex costatus, 73 nucleotides. The record is from Rfam. NCBI's taxonomy places the organism in Eukaryota, Metazoa, Arthropoda, Insecta, Hymenoptera, Formicidae.